RNAcentral lists this ribosomal RNA (86 nucleotides) under Amanita sp. 'georgiensis'. Its description in RNAcentral is "partial 28S ribosomal RNA". It matches the Rfam family "Eukaryotic large subunit ribosomal RNA", at positions 1 to 85 of the family's 3401-position model. The record is from RNAcentral. Lineage: Eukaryota; Fungi; Basidiomycota; Agaricomycetes; Agaricales; Amanitaceae.
UUGACCUCAAAUCAGGUAGGAAUACCCGCUGAACUUAAGCAUAUCAAUAAGCGGAGGAAAAGAAACUAACAAGGAUUCCCCUAGUA